Molecule: ribosomal RNA, 468 nt
Filed under: uncultured bacterium
Lineage: Bacteria
Description: partial 16S ribosomal RNA
Rfam family: Bacterial small subunit ribosomal RNA
Source: RNAcentral
GACGAACGCUGGCGGCGUGCUUAACACAUGCAAGUCGAACGGAAAGGCCCUGCUUUUGUGGGGUGCUCGAGUGGCGAACGGGUGAGUAACACGUGAGUAACCUGCCCUUGACUUUGGGAUAACUUCAGGAAACUGGGGCUAAUAUCGGAUAGGAGCUCCUGCUGCAUGGUGGGGGUUGGAAAGUUUCGGCGGUUGGGGAUGGACUCGCGGCUUAUCAGCUUGUUGGUGGGGUAGUGGCUUACCAAGGCUUUGACGGGUAGCCGGCCUGAGAGGGUGACCGGCCACAUUGGGACUGAGAUACGGCCCAGACUCCUACGGGAGGCAGCAGUGGGGAAUAUUGCACAAUGGGCGGAAGCCUGAUGCAGCAACGCCGCGUGCGGGAUGACGGCCUUCGGGUUGUAAACCGCUUUCACCUGUGACGAAGCGUGAGUGACGGUAAUGGGUAAAGAAGCACCGGCUAACUACGUG